Molecule: long non-coding RNA, 1008 nt
Filed under: Helianthus annuus (common sunflower)
Lineage: Eukaryota; Viridiplantae; Streptophyta; Magnoliopsida; Asterales; Asteraceae
Description: sRNA HanXRQr2_Chr01g0041621
Source: RNAcentral
CCCUCUUUCUUCUAGAGCAAUCAUCGUCAUCUUCACCACUUAUUAAGGAUCAAUUAGAUGUUGAUCAAUCAGUACAGAAAUGAAUACAAAUAUAUACAAAUAUAUGUGAUUCGAAUAAAGGAAGAUGGUGACGUUGGUUGUGGCCUGAAGAGAAACGACGACGAAGAAUGGUUGAUUUAGGGUUCUUCAGUUCGGGUAAUGUGAUGGUUGAUUUAGGGAUUCUGAAACCGAAGAUGGUGAUGGUGGCCUGGAAAGGAACGAUGACAACGGCAUGUGUUGAUUUAGUGUUUCUCAAGUGGUGGUCUUAUGAUGGUUGUUGUUUAACGCAAAGACGGAAGGGCGGCGGCUAGGGUUCCACCACAUAACUUUGACCAGUUGUGGUUUCCGCCGGUUAUCGGUAGAUCAACCAGGAAUGAUAUUGUACGAGUUAUGCGAUUUGUUUGGAAUGUACAUGAUAGAUGAAACAAGUUAUGGACCAAAUCAUGUUGCUCUUGCUGGCCAAAAGAGUUCCAGUAACAAAGACCAAUCUUUGUACGCGUUGGUCGGGGUGACCAGAACCACUUAUGAGUUAUUUUCAAUAACUGGUUGUGGUAUUGAUAUCGGUAUUUAAAGAAAACUUUGACUGAGGAAUGUAUGCUUGCCUAAUUUGGUUGUUUGGAAGAGGGGAGAGUGAGUUUUCUGUUGGUAUAAGGCUAGCCUUGGUUCAACAGGAUUAAGACAGUUUGACUUAUAAGAAGUUAACCCAAAGUAGAAGUUGAAGAAUAUCAUGUUGGGGCAUCAUGAGGCAAAGGUAAAGUAUUAAUAUUAAAGCUCCAACAUAAUGAUGAUGCUGCUGCUCAAGUCUAUGGUCGAACUACAUAACCUGUGGAAAAGCAUAUGAAUAACUCUAUAAGUGUGUUUGUAUCUCACAACUUAAAUUAUCAUUUUCUCUAUAAUAUUUAUCUUCAUCUUACUGUAUAAAUGACAUUGUUAAUAAUAAACUUGGAAUAAAACGCUUAUGACACUGUU